CUUGGUCAUUUAGAGGAGUAAAAGUCGUAACAAGGUUUCCGUAGGUGAACCUGCGAAGGAUCAUUACAAAUCAUCUGUCGCAAGACAGACAUUCGUGCCUCCAAGCACACAUGUGUACCAGUGUUACAGUCAAUAUGUCAAAUACAAAAACUUUUAACAAUGGAUCUCUUGGCUCUUGCAUCGAUGAAGAACGCAGUGAAAUGCGAAAUUUAAUGCGAUUUGCAUGAAUCUGUGAGUCAUCAAGUCUUUGAACGCACCUUGCACUCUGCUUCUGGCAGAGUAUGCCUGUUUGAGAAUCAUAAAAUUUAUCAACUCCUUUCGGGUUGGAUGCUGGCCUUUAGUGGCUUGAAUGCAUGACUGGUUCGUGUGUUAAAAGCCUCGUGCUUUCGCCGAACCAUAAUCUACAUUGAUCUCAAAUCAGGCAAGACUACCCGCUGAACUUAA
RNAcentral lists this ribosomal RNA (444 nucleotides) under uncultured fungus. RNAcentral describes it as "eukaryotic LSU rRNA". The stretch from base 149 to 299 matches the Rfam family "5.8S ribosomal RNA". Lineage: Eukaryota; Fungi. The record is from RNAcentral.